UACCUCUGCCAAUUCAAGAACGUUAGGGUGCGGAAUCACAAAUCGAACAGGAUCGUUAAACAUGUGCAUAUUUAGCUUCGUUGUUAGUGGCUCUCACUUCCAAUUGGGUUUUCUUUUAUAGCUUAGAACUUUACCCCUAAAAAAAAGUUUUUGUUUUUUGAUAUUGAAAAACGAUGAGGAUGAAGAAUCAUGUGUGUUGCAGAUCCUGGUCCAAUAACUGCCCGGUUAAUUACCGUAGGUGGUUAUUGGUUGCUGGAUUUGAUGUUUUUUCCCUUACUCAUCUGAGAUCUUCUUUAUCAAUUUAUUUAUUUUUCGAAAAAAAAAUGUCAAUUUUUCUCAUGAAUUGUCAUGUUAAAUAGAUUUUUUUUGGUGUCGUGGUAGGAGAAAUAGAAGUAUUUAUUUAUAUUUAAAUUAUGAGAAAAAGGGUUAUGCAUGGGACAGUGGUAGAAAGUGAUGAAUAAUGCAGGUACUUCUGAUGGCACGUCUAGCGUUGUUCUCUUGGUGCAGCCAAUGUGGCUGUGCCGAGCUUCUGCACUGUGUCUGCGUGAAUUACACUAACAUCUGCCACUGAUUUAUUCACUGUCCCAAGUUGUUGUUGCUCAUGUCAAUAGGCAAUCUCAAAUUGUGCUAUUCUUUUUUAGUAAAUAGAAUUUGUACAAUCACAAUAUGUACCUACCUUGAAAUUUAUGAUUUUAAUUUUUAUAUUUUUUAAAAUAUAUGAAAUGUUCAAGGAUAAAACCUAUUUGAUAAGUGUGCGUAUGGAUGAAAGUAAGAAUUCAAUUGCAAAGGUUUUACAAUGAUGGGAACCCCAGUCCUCCAUUGAAAUUUUUUGGACCUUUCAUAGCAUUACUUCAUGCUAGGUGCCUUUGUAGUUUAUUGAAUCCUAAAGAAAACAACUUGGUCAUCUUCUUUACAAUCCUGCUACUACUGAAUAGUCUGAGUCAAAAGAAGAAAUUGAACACAAACAUAUUGGAUUCCUCUCUGAUAUUGCAGGUCCAAAGGGUACCCAGCUGGAAUUUUUUUUGUGGAGCCUUUGGAUGCAUUACAUGCAGGUCCUUUGGUCGGUGCAAUAGCAAUUCUUCAAGGUGCUAGCUAGCAAAGGAACUGAGAUUGUUAUUCCAACUGAUGUUCUUGCUUGGGGAGAAUUUGGAUUUGUUGAAGGGCUUAUGAAGUGGUGUUAUAGAGUGAUAUAAUUGGAAAGAAAAUAACAGUACUUACAGCAAUUAGAAGAUUUGCUGCUGAGUUUGCAGCAGCUUAUGUGGUUUUGUUUGCUUCAAAGAUGAAGCUACCAAUCUCAGCCAGUCAAAUGACAUGUUGUACAAUUAACUUGCUAUUUGAUCAAACUGUAUGACAAGCUGGUUUUGUUGGAGUUUCGGUUGAUGAUGCUAAGUGGGAUUAAUUUUCGA
Molecule: long non-coding RNA, 1406 nt
Organism: Glycine soja
Lineage: Eukaryota; Viridiplantae; Streptophyta; Magnoliopsida; Fabales; Fabaceae
Exons: 2
Source: RefSeq, a predicted model, not a curated record